Molecule: long non-coding RNA, 378 nt
Filed under: Anas platyrhynchos platyrhynchos (common mallard)
Lineage: Eukaryota; Metazoa; Chordata; Aves; Anseriformes; Anatidae
Description: lncRNA (ENSAPLG00000020619.1)
Source: RNAcentral
AGGUAUUCCAACAACCUCAAACUACUUUUGAUGUUUUGGAAGUUAUCUAAGUUCCUGUGCUGCCCACAGUAUCUCAGCCAUGCUACAUAUAUGGAGCUUUAGGGAAAAAAAAAAAUCUCAUUGAGUCAUCUUCCAUCACAAAGUGAUUUGGUGCAUGUGUCUCAUGCCAGUAGCAACUCUCAUGUCUGCGUGAAAGCCUCAAGGUCAAGGUUUAGGUUUUUCCUCCUGUCAUAGAGAAGAGACAGCAACCAGUUGGGAAAGGAGGAUCCAAUUCUUCCCAUGCUUUUUUAAAAGUGUCUAUUCUGACUACAGCUGUUAGUCAUUUUUUUGACAAUACGUGCACUUCCAGAAAGAACUGAUUGUCAAGAUCAACAAAUU